GACGAACGCUGGCGGCGUGCUUAACACAUGCAAGUCGAACGGAAAGGCCCUGCUUUUGUGGGGUGCUCGAGUGGCGAACGGGUGAGUAACACGUGAGUAACCUGCCCUUGACUUUGGGAUAACUUCAGGAAACUGGGGCUAAUACCGGAUAGGAGCUCCUGCUGCAUGGUGGGGGUUGGAAAGUUUCGGCUGUUGGGGAUGGACUCGCGGCUUAUCAGCUUGUUGGUGGGGUAGUGGCUUACCAAGGCUUUGACGGGUAGCCGGCCUGAGAGGGUGACCGGCCACAUUGGGACUGAGAUGCGGCCCAGACUCCUACGGGAGGCAGCAGUGGGGACUAUUGCACAAUGGGCGGAAGCCUGAUGCAGCAACGCCGCGUGCGGGAUGACGGCCUUCGGGUUGUAAACCGCUUUCGCCUGUGACGAAGCGUGAGUGACGGUAAUGGGUAAAGAAGCACCGGCUACCUACGU
This 467-nucleotide ribosomal RNA is filed under the name uncultured bacterium. RNAcentral describes it as "partial 16S ribosomal RNA". It matches the Rfam family "Bacterial small subunit ribosomal RNA", at positions 28 to 506 of the family's 1533-position model. The record is from RNAcentral.